This 128-nucleotide non-coding RNA is filed under the name Pelecanus crispus (Dalmatian pelican). The record is from RNAcentral. Lineage: Eukaryota; Metazoa; Chordata; Aves; Pelecaniformes; Pelecanidae.
AUGUUGUAUGAAAGGAGAGAAGGUUAACACUCUCCUUGAUAAGGAUGGAAGAGGCCCCCAUGGCCUAUACAACAUGCAUACGGUCAAAGCACUGCCACCUACUUUGUGGCAUCUAAUCAUGUUUUUCA